This 497-nucleotide ribosomal RNA is filed under the name uncultured bacterium. Its description in RNAcentral is "partial 16S ribosomal RNA". It matches the Rfam family "Bacterial small subunit ribosomal RNA", at positions 28 to 507 of the family's 1533-position model. The record is from RNAcentral.
GAUGAACGCUGGCGGCGUGCCUAAUACAUGCCAGUCGAGCGAACAGACGAGGAGCUUGCUCCUCUGCCGUUAGCGGCGGACGGGUGAGUAACACGUGGAUAACCUUCCUAUAAGACUGGGAGAACUUCGGGAAACCGGAGCUAAUAACGGAUAACAUGUUCAACCGCAUGGUUCAACAGUGAAAGACGGUCUUGCUGUCACUUAGAGAUGGAUCCGCGCCGCAUUGGCUAGUUGGUAAGGUAACGGCUUACCAAGGCAACGAUGCGUAGCCGAACUGAGAGGGUGAUCGGCCACACUGGAACUGAGACACGGUCCAGACUCCUACGGGAGGCAGCAGUAGGGAAUCUUCCGCAAUGGGCGCAAGCCUGACCGAGCAACGCCGCGUGAGUGAAGAAGGUCUUCGGAUCGUAAAACUCUGUUAUUAGGGAAGAAAAAAUGUGUAAGUAACUCUGCACGUCUUGACGGUACCUAAUGAAAAAGCCACGGCUAACUACGUG